RNAcentral lists this ribosomal RNA (254 nucleotides) under uncultured bacterium. RNAcentral describes it as "partial 16S ribosomal RNA". It matches the Rfam family "Bacterial small subunit ribosomal RNA", at positions 524 to 776 of the family's 1533-position model. The record is from RNAcentral.
UACGUAGGGUGCAGGCGUUAAUCGGAAUUACUGGGCGUAAAGCGUGCGCAGGCGGUCUUUUAAGUCAGAUGUGAAAUCCCCGGGCUUAACCUGGGAACUGCAUUGGUGACUGGCAGGCUUUGAGUGUGGCAGAGGGAGGUAGAAUUCCACGUGUAGCAGUGAAAUGCGUAGAGAUGUGGAGGAAUACCGAUGGCGAAGGCAGCCUCCUGGGCCAACACUGACGCUCAUGCACGAAAGCGUGGGGAGCAAACAGG